CCCUCCUUUUUUAUAUUUUAUUAUUUUCUCAGUCCUUCUCUUCCGUAAUUUUUUCUAGCUAUCUGUCUCCAUGCCGCCACUCACUGCUCGCCUUCCUCCUGCAGCAUGUUGCUUGGGUCAUCCAACCCAACUACCCCCCUUCCUUCUCCUACACCCAUUUUUCUAUCUCUCGGGUCGCUUGUCGAGUUUUGGGAUGUCGAAUCAAAGCAAAGAAAAAGAAGUAGAGAGUGGGGAGAAGGUUGAUCACCAACCGAAAAUUGAGGAGGCGAUCAAGGUGGU
RNAcentral lists this long non-coding RNA (279 nucleotides) under Elaeis guineensis (African oil palm). Its description in RNAcentral is "long non-coding RNA (EGUI_LNC039227)". Lineage: Eukaryota; Viridiplantae; Streptophyta; Magnoliopsida; Arecales; Arecaceae. The record is from RNAcentral.